Molecule: long non-coding RNA, 687 nt
Filed under: Monodelphis domestica (gray short-tailed opossum)
Lineage: Eukaryota; Metazoa; Chordata; Mammalia; Didelphimorphia; Didelphidae
Description: lncRNA (ENSMODG00000035898.2)
Source: RNAcentral
UCUUCCUCCACUAAGCUGGACAACUUUUAAUGGAGUCAAUCCUGACCUGACCAGAGGAACUGGACAAUGUUCAUAUGAACCUGAAGACUAUUGUGGAAGGUUCUUUCCAUCAAUCAAAUUAGUCCAGAGGGAAAAAAAUCUACACAUCCCAAGAAGUGAACGAUUCCAGUUACCUUGUUCCUUUGCUUCUUUGUGCCUUACCCUCUUUCUUUCCCAUUUUUUCUUUAGUACUACUCCUCUGAAUUCUUUGACCUGUUUUCAUGAACAAUGGGCAUCUAAUGAUGUUUAAAUGCCAGUGUACACAGAGAUGAUUAUGAUGUUCAACAUACAAGUCUUGUUUUCCCCUAGAUCCCAUUUGGGGGUGGUACUUUUGAAAAGGAUUAAUAAUUAGGAUGGCAGUGAGAAAUGGGGUCAUAAUUUAAAGAAGGGGGAAAUGAGCUCAAGGAGAUGAGCUAAGGAGUCUUGGUAAGUGUUCCUUAUAUUCAGUAUACUCUUAACUAAUAGCUCUUAACUGUAGUUCAACAGGUUCCUAGCAACCCAAUUUUGCUGAAUCCUUUAGUUCAUUUUCUCAACUAUUUUCUAAUUUUCUAAUUAUUUGGCUAUUUUCUCAAAGCUGCCUCCCUUACCUCCUGGUCCCAUUUUGUAAAAACAAAUAAACAAACAAACAAACAAAAACCCUACUUAUCC